CAGCCGCCACGGUAAUACGGAGGGAGCUAGCGUUGUUCGGAAUUACUGGGCGUAAAGCGCGCGUAGGCGGUUACUCAAGUCAGAGGUGAAAGCCCGGGGCUCAACCCCGGAACUGCCUUUGAAACUAGGUGACUAGAAUCUUGGAGAGGUCAGUGGAAUUCCGAGUGUAGAGGUGAAAUUCGUAGAUAUUCGGAAGAACACAAGUGGCGAAGGCGACUGACUGGACAAGUAUUGACGCUGAGGUGCGAAAGCGUGGGGAGCAAACAGGAUUAGAGACCCCAGUAGUCCCUGUCUCUUAUAC
Molecule: ribosomal RNA, 301 nt
Filed under: uncultured bacterium
Lineage: Bacteria
Description: partial 16S ribosomal RNA
Rfam family: Bacterial small subunit ribosomal RNA
Source: RNAcentral